GACAGAGGGUGCAAACGUUGUUCGGAAUUACUGGGCGUAAAGCGCGUGUAGGCGGCUCUGCAAGUCGGAUGUGAAAUCCCACGGCUCAACCAUGGAAGUGCAUUCGAAACUGCAGGGCUAGAGUUCUGGAGAGGAAGGUGGAAUGCUUGGUGUAGAGGUGAAAUUCGUAGAUAUCAAGCGGAACACCGGUGGCGAAGGCGGCCUUCUGGACAGUAACUGACGCUGAGACGCGAAAGCGUGGGGAGCGAACGGG
This 253-nucleotide ribosomal RNA is filed under the name uncultured bacterium. RNAcentral's name for it is "partial 16S ribosomal RNA". It matches the Rfam family "Bacterial small subunit ribosomal RNA", at positions 524 to 776 of the family's 1533-position model. The record is from RNAcentral.